UUAAGUGCUGCACAAGAAGCUAAUGAGGAGGCAUCAUGCGGUAGAGCAGCUGCAAGUGAAGUGUGAACAGAGGUUGCUGAGAACUCUUCCUGGGUUCGAUGUUUGGAAAACAGCAUAAAUACAGGGAUAUCACACUGAGGUUCUGAAACCUUGGAGUUUUGCAUCAAUCAUUGGGCUUUUGAAUCAACAAUAACGGGUCUGACAGUUGUGAGCUACAUCAGACUUAACAUUGGGUGCAGCGCCUCUACUCUACUACUUAAAAAGGCGAGCCUAAGAACGUGCCCACUCCUUACUUACACAGCACACAGAGCACGCCACAACCAAGGACGCUGCAAGUUCACUGAGCGUGUGCACCCACUCUGUGAACUCCGUCACCCCGGUACAACCUGGGCUCAGAUUUUAAAAUGGCAAUAUUUUCUUUUUCACAGGGUCCCGUCUUCCCUGACAGCGUCCUGUAACUCAUUGGAAUUCAGCUCAGCUCGGUUUCACUCAUCGGCCCACGCUGGACGGCGCAUGCAGGCGGUGGCCAGGUGUCCGCUCUUCCUCCGAGGCUCAGUGCACACGGCUCCGCACUCUCUCUCUCUGCGCAAAGUGAGAGCUCACCUAGCCUUUCAGCACUGCUGACACACGAGAAAGGACCUCUUUGUUUGAACAACUCGGGGGCUCUUUUAAAAUGGGGUUUUGUUACAGAAUGAAAUGUUUCAAAAUAAAAGAACAUGCAUCUAUAAUUCUGGUGAAUGAUUCUGUACAAAUGCAUCAAGGCCUAAAAAACACAACCCUUCAACAAGUGUUGCGGCACUGGGUGGACUGAUAUGGUAUGAAUUUCCGAUUAUAUACAGUAUAUAGUAAAAGUUUUGGAAUGCAUUGGGGUAGAUUCAUUAAACAUUUACUAUCAUGAUCCUUUUUGUCCUUUUGUAUUAUUUUUAAAUAGAAUAUUAAAAUGGAAAGUUUCUGAUGUUUUAUUUGUUAAGAGUAUGAUUAAAUUUUUCUGUCUAUAUGUAAUUGCUGAAUAAAGGCCCAAUUAAAACAACAUGAUGUGUUGUUUAUAAAUAUAGCAGCCUAAUGUGAUGAUCCAAACAAAGCAGUUUAAAAUAAUUUUCCCAACAUGAGUAAUCUGAAGCAAGGUUCACAAAUAGAGCUGCUCAAUGUGAGGUUGCCAAAGAAACUAUAUCAAUCAAAUGUAAUAAUGUUCCUAUUUAAAUAGGAGCAAUUUGAUGUUUAUAGCAAUUUAGAUGUGUUUUUCUGUUUAGGAACGUUCUAUUAUAUUCAAUUAGGACGAAUUGCAUUAAUAGGUGCUUCGUAAGCUCUGCAGAUCACAGUAAGGCUCCAAAUCAGAUUGGAAAUGCAAUUAAAAACUUUUAAUUUGAGCCACCCUAUACAUUGUGGUUUAGUCUGGCGCAGUUAGGAUCACUAUAUUCAUUUGAUUUUACCUUUGAUAAGGAUGAGAACAACUAAAUAAUCACAAUAGUUCAUUUCUUAUCUAAAACCUAAAAGAAAAGAAUUGGGAAAUGCACAAAGUAGAAAAAUAGAUCAAAAGCAACAGGUAUAUAUAAUGGUGUGCAAUGCAGUUAAAAUUACAUAUCUAAUGAUCUAUCCUCACAGACUUGAUUACACUAGCAAAUCAUAACAAAUGUACACACAUCUGAAUUGCUGAAUAUUUCAGUUUGUCAAAUUUAAUUCCUAAUGCUUUUCUUUAAACUACAUCAUUAUGUUUCAGCUUGUACAAUGAUGUCCUAACACCUUUCAUUCAGAAUUAACAUGUGAGAAACUUGUUUCAUACAAUAGGUGACAUGUGUGAUUCAUAGAUAUUAAAAAAAAGAAAAACAUGCUUUGAUUUAUGGGGACAGUGGAGUCUUUACA
Molecule: long non-coding RNA, 1860 nt
Organism: Acipenser ruthenus (sterlet)
Lineage: Eukaryota; Metazoa; Chordata; Actinopteri; Acipenseriformes; Acipenseridae
Exons: 5
Source: RefSeq, a predicted model, not a curated record